RNAcentral lists this ribosomal RNA (91 nucleotides) under Pseudomonas syringae. Lineage: Bacteria; Pseudomonadati; Pseudomonadota; Gammaproteobacteria; Pseudomonadales; Pseudomonadaceae. The record is from RNAcentral.
CACCUGACCCCCUCCCGUACUCAGUAGUGAAACGAUGUAUCGCCGAUGGUAGUGUGGGGUUUCCCCAUGUGAGAGUAGGUCAUCGUCAAGA